GAUGAAGAACGUAGUGAAAUGCGAUAAGUAAUGUGAAUUGCAGAAUUCAGUGAAUCAUCGAAUCUUUGAACGCACAUUGCGCCCGCCAGUAUUCUGGCGGGCAUGCCUGUUCGAGCGUCAUUUCAACCAUCAAGCCCCAGGCUUGUGUUGGGGACCUGCGGCUUCCGCAGGCCCUGAAAACCAGUGGCGGGCUCGCUGUCACACCGGGCGUAGUAGAUUUUAUCUCGCUCAGGGCGUGCUGCGGGUUCCGGCCGUUAAAAAGCCUUUUUUACCCAAGGUUGACCUCGGAUCAGGUAGGAAGACCCGCUGAACUUAAGCAUAUCAAUAAGCGGAGGA
RNAcentral lists this unclassified non-coding RNA (336 nucleotides) under soil metagenome. Its description in RNAcentral is "partial contains 5.8S ribosomal RNA, internal transcribed spacer 2, and large subunit ribosomal RNA". The stretch from base 1 to 120 matches the Rfam family "5.8S ribosomal RNA", at positions 35 to 154 of the family's 154-position model. The record is from RNAcentral.